GGAGGAGGCCGUCGAUGGACUCUGCGAGUUCAGGCUCCCGGGAGGAGCCAGGAGCGUCGCCGGGAGCGGGGGCACCGGGUAAAACUUGACUUGAAGCCAGUCCUGUCCCUUGCGAGCAACACAACCUCGGGGGUCGCGCUGCAAGAUCUUGGAGACCCCAUCGCGUCCCAGGCGUCAAGGGUCAGCGAGCCAGGGCCUGGUCCAGGAGAGGGACUGGCAAUGGGGCGCUGGAGAUGUCUGGUUCCGGAGGUCAUCACCCCCAGCACGUGGACGCCGGCCUGGGACCACUGACCACGCCCACUGAGAGCAGAAAUCCCAAGGCAAUAUGAAAUACCAUGCUUGUAGAGCUGCUAGAUGGUCUGAACUGGAAUGGGACCAGUCCUGUUGUUUUCCCAUGAAGCAUUGUGCUGGUCAAUGGCCUGGGAUGAGUGCUCCUGCUCUGCUGCCCUCUCCUCGCUGGCCCUAGUGGCCAUCAUUAGCCAUCAGAAGCCAGCAGCUACCUUUAAGGCCCAGAGGCAGCUGUGGACACACCUGACCUGGGAGACUUGGAAUGGAGCUGCCAAGGGCAAUUCCCACACUCAGCUCUCUUCCGCAAGCCUUCUCUUCCCUCUGUUUGGGGCCUGCCGCAGGACAGCCUGUAAGUCCAGCUUUCCCUUCAAAAUGCCCAAACCUACUUGGGCCAGCCAUACCCUUGAUGAAACAGGCUCUCUUCCCACCUCAUCCCUCUGUGGCCAUCGUAGAAAUCCUAAGACAUUGGAGUUGCACACAAACCCUUGGCCACUCAACCUUGGCCUGGAUGGAUGUCCUCACAAAGAAAGUGUCAAAAUUGCUACUGUUUGCCCUGGACACAAAAGACUCAUCCCCCUUUCCUGCCCAAGAGAUUCAGACAGAGAAACCUGCUUCAGGAAGGAGAUCUUAGCAUGUCACUGAGCCUGAUUUGAAUUAAGUAUGGUAAAUAGAGGGCUUCAGACAGGUAGCUAGACAGCCUGUUUCUGAGUCCCCUCGCAAGGAUUUUCCUGCCAUGUGUGUUCAGCUCUCUCUCUCAACUACCUGUAAAUGGCCCAUUCUCACUUCUGACAUCUAAUACCUACCUAUUCCCCUCCUUUCUCCUUUCUCCAAAAUGUGUUAUAUACCAAUGUUGCUUCACUGUCUUUGGACUUUUCAUGCUUAUGGGAAUUCCUCCGGCACACGUAUUAAGACCUUGAUUACCCCCCUUAAUCUGUCUCUGUUAAUUUGAUUAUUAGCCCAGCCAGAAGAACUUAGAAAGCGGGAGGAAAAGUAUUAACAUUUUUUAGCCUCUCUCAACUCUGUGGCUGUUGGGCUUCAGUUCUGUAUCUCUACCUUGAGUUCUGGGCUGAGGUAAGAUAGUGUAACUACCUUGGGGAGGUUAGAGGAGGAGGGAGAGAGAAAAAGGUCAGGAGCCAGGCACAUGGGAGAGUGGAAUGUGGCAGGUUUCAUUGGUUGAGAUGCCAGGACUGGUCCCAGUGGUGGGCUGACUGGGAUCCACGGGGCUGGAUGGAAACCAAAGCAAGGGGCUGGGGGAGACCACACAGGACCACACGAGGGCAGGUUGUGGCAGGUGGAGGGUAGCCCCUUGGCUAAGGUGACCAGAUCGUCCCGCUUUUGGCGGAACAAAACCGAUUUUUAACAAUUUGUCCCGCGUCCCACAGCGUUUUAAAAAGUCCCUAUUUUUGGAAAGAUUCUUUCCAAAAAUAGGGCCUUUUUUAAAACGCCAUGUUGGGGAAGCCCAGGUGCCCAUCGCUCUCAGGAAGGAUCCAGCAGGUUCAGAUACUUUGCGCCCGUCUCUGUAGCCCCUCCCCAUUUUUGCUGGGUUUAAGUGUGGGCAGGUGAUAAGGGUCUGGCCAGUGAGCUAUGGGGUAGGUGUGGGGGAAGAGUGUUGGAGAAAGGGAAGCAUUGCUGAGAACGGUUUCUGCAGAGCCAGGGGAGAAGGUUCCAGGCACAGUGGCAGUUUUCCCCUCAGGCCUGUGGCAGAGGCGUAGGGACCCCUGUGCCUGGGUAUGGGGUCUGCCUGCUGUACCCUGUGACCAGUGCUGUGUUAGGAAGCCCUGGUCCUUGUCUGGGCUCAUUUAGCAAUGGCGUCUGGUGCUGUGGAGGGUCUAGUUAGACUCAAACAGGACUGUCCUGGUUCUGAGGUCAAUCUCGGGAUCGCAGGAUCAGAAUGCUCACAACCCCCCAUGGAAGACCCUUUUGCCUCUGCCGACUGGAGGCCCCAGUCCCACCCCUGGCCAUGUUGCUUCUGUGUCGUUGGGACAGCCCUUGACCAAGGACCCCUCCUUUCAGCGAGACCUGCUCCACUUUGGACGUGUAAACAUGGAAACUUGGGCCACCCGACCCGCUGCCUCACUCAUCACAGUGACACGAUCCCUGGGGCUCCUCUGGCCCCUCGCUCCCCUGGGAGGUCGGGUUUCCAGGGCUGGGCAUCUCAGCCUGCUCUAGCAAGGGGUGCUGAGGUGAUCCUGGCCCCGAGCCUCCUCAAGAUGCCUCCCAUGGUUUGGGGGGGCACGUAGUAUAUGGAAGCCUGUGGCCCUCAAGCCUCUAAGCACUGCAAACCCCAGUUAGCUCUGCCUCCCAUACUGGAUGGCUUGGGCACUGCCCCCAGGUGCACAGUCUGAAUCUCCAAGGCUUCUCACGUAGCAGCCGGCCUGCUCUUUGAGAAGGUCUAAGAAUACAUUCAGUGCAUGCAGUCUACUUCCCAUUGAUAGCAUUGUAAUGAACCCAGUUAUUAAUUAACAGGAAAGGGGCAAAGGGAAAGCCAGAUAAUAUAGGCAGGCCAGUUAUGCAGCUUUGCCAGAAAGCUGCAAUUUAAAUGAUGUUUUAAAAUGUUUUUAUUGAUAUUAGAGAGAGAGGAAGCGAGAGGGAGAGAUAGAAAUAUCGAUGAGAGAGAAAUAUCGAUCGGCUUCCUCCCACAUGUCCCUACUGGGGAUUGAGCUCGCAUCCUGGGCAUGUGCCCUGACCGGGAAUUGAACUGGUGACCUCUUGAUACAUGGGUUGACACUCAACCAUUGAGCCACACUGGCUGGGCCAGAAAGCUGCAAUUUAGAUGCAUACCCAGUAAAGUCUGAGUGAAAUAGAGUGAAAUAGUCACACCUGGGAACAGAUCAUUGGCCAGAGUAGGUGUGGCCACUACAAGUGCGGGAAGAUUUAAGAUACUUAAGUUCCUAAACAAAGGAGUUCUCUCUCUUGCCUCUUGCUCUCACUUGACUCCUGGCCUUUGGGACUCUCACGCUUUGCAUUCCCACACUUGGCUCACGGCCAUGUGGAUCCCCCACACAACAGACUAAGGGACUGCAGCUGGCCUGAUGCUACAGCAGACCCCGCUCCACCACGGAACAGAAAGUCUGGACACUGGCUUCGCUUCUAGCUCUGCUGGGAAAUGGGACUUUGCAAACCCAGAGAUGUAAUUCCACGCAAAUAAAAAUCACUCAUC
Long non-coding RNA from Eptesicus fuscus (big brown bat), 3448 nucleotides. RefSeq lists it as uncharacterized. Lineage: Eukaryota; Metazoa; Chordata; Mammalia; Chiroptera; Vespertilionidae. The record is from RefSeq and is a predicted model, not a curated record. The transcript has 3 exons.